AACACAUGCAAGUCGUGCGCAGGGUCGGCCCCUUUUGGGGCCGGCCGCUGAGCGGCAAACGGGUGAGUAACACGUGGGUAACCUACUCCCAGGAGGGGGAUAACCCCGGGAAACCGGGGCUAAUACCCCAUAACGCCACCCGCCACUAAGGCGAGGUGGCCAAAGGGGGCCUCUGGGGCUCUGCCCCACGCUCCCGCCUGGGGAUGGGCCCGCGGCCCAUCAGGUAGUUGGUGGGGUAACGGCCCACCAAGCCUAUGACGGGUAGCCGGCCUGAGAGGGUGGCCGGCCACAGCGGGACUGAGACACGGCCCGCACCCCUACGGGGGGCAGCAGUGGGGAAUCGUGGGCAAUGGGCGAAAGCCUGACCCCGCGACGCCGCGUGGGGGAUGAAGCCCUGCGGGGUGUAAACCCCUGUCGGGGGGGACGAUGCGGACUCGGGUUAAUAGCCCGUGUCCGUGACGGUACCCCCAGAGGAAGGGACGGCUAACUACGUGCCAGCAGCCGCGGUAAUACGUAGGUCCCAAGCGUUGCGCGAAGUCACUGGGCGUAAAGCGUCCGCAGCCGGUCGGGUAAGCGGGAUGUCAAAGCCCACGGCUCAACCGUGGACCGGCAUCCCGAA
RNAcentral lists this ribosomal RNA (619 nucleotides) under uncultured Aquificales bacterium. RNAcentral's name for it is "bacterial SSU rRNA". It matches the Rfam family "Bacterial small subunit ribosomal RNA", at positions 50 to 632 of the family's 1533-position model. The record is from RNAcentral. Lineage: Bacteria; Pseudomonadati; Aquificota; Aquificia; Aquificales.